RNAcentral lists this long non-coding RNA (822 nucleotides) under Cricetulus griseus (Chinese hamster). RNAcentral describes it as "lncRNA (ENSCGRG00015036942.1)". Lineage: Eukaryota; Metazoa; Chordata; Mammalia; Rodentia; Cricetidae. The record is from RNAcentral.
CUGUGGCCUUUCAGUCCUUGGCACACCAUGUUGUCAUUGCCUAAUUGUACUUCAAUGUUCUUCUUUGCCAUGAGGUCCUAGAGGUUGGGACCAUUAUUUGGCUGUAACUCAGGUGCCCAGCAUGUAUCUUAUCAGUCAAGUUCAUCAGUACACCCCAACUCCAUAAUUUCAUUUAAUAGUCACUAUAGUAAAUGACCAUUAGACAACAUGGUGUGUCAAUCACUGAGGAGCCACAGAAGGUCCUUUUCCCAAGUCUCACAGCACUUGCCAUACUGCAUCAGCAAUCUUCUAACCACAAUUUCCCUUCAAUAUAAAUAGUGACUAAAAGUAUGUGUGCCAGGUCCUCAUUUUAUAUAUCCAAAGAGGGUGAUGCCCUAAAGAUAAAACAUGUUACCUCUGAUCUUCAGUCCUGAUGCCCAGUACUACCUUAGCUCCUGCGAUUUUGUCCAGGGUUCUCCGAAUAAAAUCUUCCAGCCCAAAGCUCCAAAUCCUUCCAUUCACACCCAGUGCAGACAACCUGGGCUUCUUCCCACUGCUCACUCACAACCAUCUAGAGCUGCCUUGGCAGAUCUUCAACACUCAGAAUCUCUGCAGAUCGAGGACUCAUGCUAACUGUCUGGACCUUGCCACUUGCUGCUGUGGAUCACUCAUCUGGGAACUGGUGACAGAAAUCAAUAAAAAGAUCAUCACUUUCAUGGAACUUACUUUCUUGUGAGAGAAAAGAGAAAUAAACAUACAAAACCAGAAACAAGCUACAAGAUGCCUGCUGAUCUGUAUGAAGAACUCUCAGCUCCCUCUCCAGCACCAUGUCUGCCUGCGUGC